This 194-nucleotide non-coding RNA is filed under the name Thauera sp. Lineage: Bacteria; Pseudomonadati; Pseudomonadota; Betaproteobacteria; Rhodocyclales; Zoogloeaceae. The record is from RNAcentral.
UCGCCCUUCGAGCUUCGGGGUGCCCGCGCCAGUCGCGGGAGAAUCGGGAAAGCGGCGCAACUCCGCUGCGCGCCCAGCGCCGUUAUGGGGAUUGUCCGGGCAUGGUUUGCCCAGCCACUGGUCCGCAAGGAUCGGGAAGGCGCCCGGACGAGAUGAUCCACAGCCGGAAGACCGGCCCCGAAGCGUAUCAAGCA